UUAUUAAGUGCAGUUUAGAGAUAAGUAUGGACAAGGAUCCUGUCAAGCAUGCUAUUUAAACUGUUUUUCUUCUAUCAUAUCAGUCUGCAUCUUCUUCAUUUGGUCAGCUCUUUUUUACCAUUUUAUUUUUGAAAACUGUUUCCAUUUUGCUUUGUUUGAACAAGACUGUUGCCAGUUUAGAGAUGUGAGUUGGCUUCACAUAUUUGGUGUCUGAGAGCUUUAAGAGCUUAUGCUUAAACUGUAUCUAGCAUGUUUUGAAUCUAGCAAAUUUCCUCAUCACACAGUGUUGUCCCACCAUAGAUGUUAAUUGAAUGCUAAAAAGGUCUAUUUCUGAUCUUCCGUAGCUAAAGACGGUGAGGGACUUAACCCACCCACAGGAAACAGAUUGGAAUCACAAAAAAAAGAAAGUGAUGAAGAGAAGACAAAUGCAGAAACUCCCUUAACUACCAAGGCCAAGGAUUAGAGGAGCCAGUAUUUUAGGAUGGUAAAACACCUACCAAAAGAUGUAUUGACAAGGAAGUGCUUGGAAUCACUUCCAUUGUUAUUCUUGUACAGUAUGUAUAUAAAUGUUGUGAUAAAAAACAUUAGAUUUUUCCUUUGUCAAAUAAACAACUGAGAUGGCUAAUGUUCAAAUAAGUAAAGCAGUUGAUGUACCUGAUACAUUAAGUAGCUUAUUCCACACUGAGUUAUUUUCUCGCCUUAACUUUAAUACCAGACCAAGAGAUUGUCCAGAGGACCAGAAAACCUGUUUGAAGGCUCCCUACAUGCUUCUACAACUCUUACAUUCAAGCAAAACUAGAAAGAUAUUUCAUAUGUUGAACUGUUAGCAGUGUAUCAACUGUAAAGAAACAUCCUGUGAAAACUUAAGUACAUUCUACAGCUAUACCAGGUCAAGUUUUUAUUUACAGUCAUUUUGGAGAUUCAGUUGUUGUUAUGAGGAAGUUUGUUUGCAUUAUGUAGAACUAGCUCAUAUUUAGAUUUCUUCUGUAAAAGUUUGGCAAAUACAGAUGCAUCUUUUUCCCGUAAUUCAAA
Esox lucius (northern pike) is the source of this 1032-nucleotide long non-coding RNA. RefSeq lists it as uncharacterized. The transcript has 3 exons. NCBI's taxonomy places the organism in Eukaryota, Metazoa, Chordata, Actinopteri, Esociformes, Esocidae. The record is from RefSeq and is a predicted model, not a curated record.